GAGACGUCAGGCCGGACCGGAGAUUAGCAGGUGCUUUAAGUGAAUUAGAGAGCGGCAGAGCUGGGGAGACGUGGGUGGAGCGGCGGCCAAGCGAGGAGGAGGAGGAGGCACAGAGCCUGGCAGCGAAGCCCCUUGGCCAUGCUGCAAAUCGUGGCCCUGCACGGCCCCUCGCCCUGGGGUUCCGCCUAGUCGGGGGAAAGCACCCUGCUCACCAUCUCCAGGCAAAAUAUGAAGCAAGAGCCAGCCAGCAUACCCACAGUGAAUUCCCUGCCUCAUAGUAUGUCCACUAAGACUGAUAGUUACAUUCUAGGAACCUCAUCAGAUGCAGCAAGAGAAGCAUCUUCUUCCAUGGCUACUUCCAGCGGAGCUCUGUGGCGCUCCGUGCUGGCAAUAUUGCGGCAGCAGAUCUCAGACACCGCGUGUGCACACAACUCCUAAUUGAACAAGGGAACAGAAAUUGAAGAGGAAGCAGGGACAGACGGGAAAAUGUAAUGAGAAGAAUACUACGGCCCACAGUGGUAGGGAGCAGAGCGUGACGGUUCCCUCUGAUGCCCAGUGAUUUCUCUUUUGUCCCCUGCUUUACCCCUAACCGUCUAAUAAAGUCCUAGGGCAAUGUCAAAAAACCA
This is a long non-coding RNA of Anolis carolinensis (green anole), 626 nucleotides long. RefSeq lists it as uncharacterized. NCBI's taxonomy places the organism in Eukaryota, Metazoa, Chordata, Lepidosauria, Squamata, Anolidae. The transcript has 2 exons. The record is from RefSeq and is a predicted model, not a curated record.